Molecule: non-coding RNA, 90 nt
Organism: Blastosporella zonata
Lineage: Eukaryota; Fungi; Basidiomycota; Agaricomycetes; Agaricales; Lyophyllaceae
Source: the annotation of a GenBank genome assembly
GCAUUAAUGGGGUAGUGGUAACCUGGGUCGUUGCCAUAAAUGCAUGUGUCCUGCGUCGACCCGCCGGGAGUUCGAUUCUCUCUUAAUGCA